AUUGAACGCUGGCGGCAGGCCUAACACAUGCAAGUCGAGCGGCAGCGGAAAGUAGCUUGCUACUUUGCCGGCGAGCGGCGCACGGGUGAGUAAUGUCUGGGAAACUGCCCGAUGGAGGGGGAUAACUACUGAAAACGGUAGCUAAUACCGCAUAACGUCGCAAGACCAAAGAGGGGGACCUUCGGGCCUCUUGCCAUCGGAUGUGCCCAGAUGGGAUUAGCUAGUAGGUGGGGUAACGGCUCACCUAGGCGACGAUCCCUAGCUGGUCUGAGGGGAUGACCAGCCACACUGGAACAGAGACACGGUCCAGACUCCUACGGGAGGCAGCAGUGGGGAAUAUUGCACAAUGGGCGCAAGCCUGAUGCAGCCAUGCCGCGUGUAUGAAGAAGGCCUUCGGGUUGUAAAGUACUUUCAGCGGGGAGGAAGGUGUUGAGGUUAAUAACCUCAGCAAUUGACGUUACCCGCAGAAGAAGCACCGGCUAACUCCGUGCCAGCCGCCGCAGUAA
This 506-nucleotide ribosomal RNA is filed under the name uncultured bacterium. RNAcentral's name for it is "partial 16S ribosomal RNA". It matches the Rfam family "Bacterial small subunit ribosomal RNA", at positions 30 to 523 of the family's 1533-position model. The record is from RNAcentral.